CCCGCCCCGGCCCCGCCGCCCAACCACAAGUCGCCGCACAGAUCUCAUCCAUCAUUGGUAAAUCGAUAUUAUAUCGAAACGCGAAUUUGACGUUGGGCGUGGACCCGUGGGGUCAGGAGACAACUGGCGGCUGUAGUCAGCGGCUGAGUGGCAACAUUGUGAGACCCACCAACAGUGAUGAGGACGAAACAGUCGUCACCUGCAUCCAUUUCCCCGGAGCACCUCUCCAGUGAUGACCUCUCCAGUGAUGACCUCUCCAGUGAUGACUUCCGUAGUGAUGACUCCACAGCCAAGCCAGGGUCACCGCCGACUCCCAUCGAUGACCUGCGAGCCUUUGCAAUGACCUCCAAGCCGUAAUGGUGACAAACAAUGAUGACCUGCGAGCUAUAGUCCAUCAAUUGGACGUAUUUCUAUCAAACGGAACUAUGUGCAUUGUGACAUGAGCCCUGUAAUGCAUACAUUCGUAUGGGUCUUAAGGCUCAUGUGUUAUUGCACAUAGUUCCGUUUGAUAGAAAUACGUCCAAUUCUCAGACGAAAGAACGUAACUCCUUUACAAAUUUGCAAAAUUGACUGAAACAAUUCGAUGGACCUUUAAAGAAGGUGAAAAUUUAAGCACGAAACAGCUUGUCUGGUAUAGGCACGUGCAACGGAUGCUAGCGGGCCGAUUUUUGAAAGUGAUAGACAAAGCUUUAGACAAAGAUAACAAGAGGGAUAUGGAGGGAACCUAUAGGUGGAAGCUGGUGGUUGCAAUGGACAAAGGCAGUAGGUAAUAGACUAACUAACGGCAACCCACGAGAAACCCGACAGUUAGUCCAAGAGCCACACAUUUCAACCAAUAGGAUCCCUCCAUACCCCCUUUGUCUUCUUUGUCUAUAGCUUUGUCUAUCGAUUUCAAUAAUCAGCCCGCUGAUGAAAGGUUGCUGAAGAAAGUUCUAGAUUGGGUCCCCCUUGGCAGAAAACGUAGAGGACGCCCUGCCAAAUCGUGAAUCGAGGGAAUAAGGCAGGCAAUUAGGAGAUGCGAUCUGCCGGAGUUGCUCUGGCAAGAUCUCUAUUAGUGGCGGUUUUGUGUCGCAGAGCGCACAGAAGCGCUACAAGAGUGACGAGUUAGUUAGUUAGUAAAAAUUUAAGCACUCUGAUUUAUGUUUCCGUUUCAAAGUCUCAUUUAGAAUACGAUUUUUGCAACAAAAAUAAUCCCCGCAUCAACAUUAAUGAGAAUAAUCCGUGCAGAGCGUGCAAACAUUUCCAAAUCAUGAGUUGAAAAACGCUGACUUCGCGGGUUUGAAUAUUAGACUCUAAGAGAGCGGAGCGAGGAGCUACCAGCGGGAUACGCGCACUAGCGCCUACAAACCUAACUGAAUACCUCGUGCAUUGCGCAAAGCUUGAAGUAUCCUCUUAGGUUUGUAGGCGACAAUGCGCGCGUCGCGCCGGCCGGGCUACUGCCCGAAUUUCCCGCUCACACGAAAAAUUUUAUAGUCUACUGAAUGAGCGGAAUCGUCCAUGCACUUUCACAUUGGCAAGGAUCUUAUUACAUAGUGUUCCUUCUACGCCCUGUGAUGUUCAUAGUAUGAUUAACGUGCAACAGCUGUGCCGAAGCGUCAAGAUUGAGGUUGUCAUGUUUGCAUACUGCGAAGACUGCCGCAGGGUAACGCUUAGUGUGCGAUUUGACUGAAGUAGUAGCUUUUUUAUUGAGCAGAAAGUUUGAAUUUAUACAUAAAAAACAUUAAUUUCUUGUUAGAAGUUACGGGCAGCAUAUUUUGUUUUACAAAUUCUGUUCAACUUGAAAUUUUGUAUAGGAAACAUGUAUCAGAAUGCUUCAAUUCGUACCUUGUCUAGUGGUCCAUUGUAAGGGAAUUUAUUUCGGUAUAUUUGGUUUCCACAUGAAACGACCUACACAGGUGAGGUGACCUACAUUUUUUUCAAGUAGGUAGAGCGGCCAACUUUCGGAGUAACCAUUACACAAAAGAUGGAAAUACAGUGGAAUCGGAUAAUACAUUCGCUAAAAAUGACAUAUCGGUUAUAACGACCUGCGAUCCGGUCAGUCCCGUGGCUGAAAUCCCAUUUAUUCAGUGUACUUGAGCAUCGGUUAUAGCGACAAUCGGAUAAAACGACCAAAUUUGGCCGGUCCCUAGAAGGUCGUUGUAUCCGAUUUCCACUGUGGCAAUUUUGCAAGGUUGAAAUCGAGAUACGUUCUUUCGUAUAUGGAUUAAGACGAGUCGUCACCUUUCUAGCCCAUGGUGUUAUGCUACCGAAAAGAGGAAUUAAUUUCCGCAAUUUUCACCGUCUCCGGAGAAAGAUGCCUGAGUUUCACAAAUUUCAAAAUUGAGACAAUUUUUUGCAUUAAGGCGUAAGUUCUUGGAACCGUUUAGGAGCUGUUAAUUUGUGUACGAGCAAACGACCGCAAGAAUAUCAUUGAAAAUGAGGCAGAAGUUCUCAAUUUAUUUGAUUGCGAAGGUAAAUUUGGCUCCUGGACAUUUUGUCAACGAUUUUUUGUCCGCGCACCUGUUUUGUCCAGUAGUUUACGUCCACUUUGUAAAAUAAGUAACAAAGACUUGGUCCAAGCAUUAUAUUUAUGUUAAAUUAUAAGUAAAA
Non-coding RNA from Bemisia tabaci, 2589 nucleotides. NCBI's taxonomy places the organism in Eukaryota, Metazoa, Arthropoda, Insecta, Hemiptera, Aleyrodidae. The record is from RefSeq and is a predicted model, not a curated record.